CUGCUCGCUUCGGCAGCACUUACACUAAAAUUGGAACGAUACAGAGAAGAUUAGCAUGGCCCCUGCACAAGGAUGACACACGAAUUCGUAAACAAAGCUGGUUAAG
Molecule: small nuclear RNA, 106 nt
Filed under: Zalophus californianus (California sea lion)
Lineage: Eukaryota; Metazoa; Chordata; Mammalia; Carnivora; Otariidae
Also listed under: 1 other name
Source: RNAcentral